UACGUAGGGCGCAAGCGUUGUCCGGAAUUACUGGGCGUAAAGCGCACGUAGGCGGCUUUUUAAGUCAGGGGUGAAAUCCCGGGGCUCAACCCCGGAACUGCCCUUGAAACUGGAGAGCUAGAAUCUUGGAGAGGCGAGUGGAAUUCCGAGUGUAGAGGUGAAAUUCGUAGAUAUUCGGAAGAACACCAGUGGCGAAGGCGACUCGCUGGACAAGUAUUGACGCUGAGGUGCGAAAGCGUGGGGAGCAAACAGG
This 253-nucleotide ribosomal RNA is filed under the name uncultured bacterium. Its description in RNAcentral is "partial 16S ribosomal RNA". It matches the Rfam family "Bacterial small subunit ribosomal RNA", at positions 524 to 776 of the family's 1533-position model. The record is from RNAcentral.